UGGGCUGGCGCAGACUGGCCGCAGACUACCAAGCGAAGGCUGCGAUGCGUUGUGAUAACGCGAACCCCAAGAGACCCACCUGGAACACAGCCAGGCAUCCGCGGUGAGCCAGGAGUAGUACGUACAUGCGAGGACAAGAGGAAAGAGAACGGCAGAAAGGAGGGUGCGGCAUGGCGAGUGUCAAAACGUUGAGGCCGGCGCAGAAAAUAAACCAGGGUGGCUGCUUAGCUGCGGCCGGGCUGACGUGAAGGCUGACUGGCUGCUGUAUAUGGUGAGCUGAGACUGGUAUGAAAGGCUGGUGCCGGCCAGGCGAGUUGGGCAUGAGGCGCUGCUGCAUGGGGACAUGACGCUCUGUAGGCCAUGGGCCUUUGGGUGAGCCCAGCCGGAGGGGUCCAGGUCCCGUGCGUAUGGCGUCGCAGGUGUCGCUAGGUAGAUUUAGGCUGCAUGGUGACCGGUGUGGUACAAUUUGGGCAGGAUUAGGUACAGGUUGUGGUUGCAGACAGGUGGGGCACAGAUUUGCUUUGUCGGCAUCAGGAUACACAGGUGGGUGGUUGCUGCGUUGGGGCUGAGUAGGGGGUGUUGAUUGCCCCGUCUCACCGGCUCCCUCCUCGUCUUCGGUGCUCAUUGCCGCGGCCACGGCGGGCCCAGCCUUUGUGGUGAUGCAGGGCGCGCGCGCACUGGCCAGCCUGUACCAUGCCUCGAGCUGCAGCACGUCGAAGGCGACACGCAGGGGGUGCUGCUUGCCCGGCGUGUCGGGCUUCGCGGCGCAGCUCGCUUGCGUGAUGCCAUGCGUCCCUAUUGAUUGCAUUGGAAGCGCGGGUAGGCGAUGUGAGGUGUUUGAGGUCUUGUAGGCGCUAAAUGGUUCGCAGUGUUGGCUUGCGCUGGCGAUCCGCUGGGCGGAAGCCGAGUGUAGGGACCGCAGGCAUAGGCUUUGGCCAUAGCAGCGAGUAUUGUUAAGUGAGGCACUAGCAAAGCUUGCGGGUGUCAUUUUUGUUUGCAUACGAGCUGUGCUUCGUCCCAGGUGUAGUGUAGAUUUGCAUUGGCUCUCAACGAGUUUUGGAGGGUGCCAUAUUCUAUUGUAAUGUAGUGGUAGUGCUCCUUCUUUCGAUUGAUUAUCGAUGGGCCCUGUGACGGGGUCAGUCGCGUGUCGGUAUUUAACCUUUGUUCGGUUUGUUCUACCUAAUUGGUAUUCUUCUUGUCUGGGCGUAUCUGAUGAGUGUUCCAUGUAGUUUGUUUGUGUCUGGGAGGGCAGGUCGCUGGGGAAGGCUUUGGCGGUGCAGGUUUCUUUCUUGUUUUGUUGUUUAUCCGAGUGGUUUUGGUAGUGUAUAUCAGGCUUUCUUGAGUAUUGCUGCCAUAAUGUCGGAAGCUUGUUCAGAGGGCGUUCUGUCUCGUGUGAGUGCUCUGCUGUAGGUUGGUUAUCACGUUUGAUAUACUGGUGGUUAUUCGUGGGUGUUGGGAGGGAUUCCCACUGUAUGUCAAGGCUGGGUCUCGGUUCUUGGUCCCUUGCUUCGCUGGAACGGUUUACAUGUUUGACUUCCUGAUAUUCUGCAUUCGCUAGCAGGCAGUCUUGGGAGUCGUGAGGGGCUUCCGGGGGAGAAAUUGAGGAUAAUGGCGCCAUUUCUUGCCAGUUCCGCUGGAGCUCGGCCGAUGGGUCCCCUCCACCGAUUCCUGUUGUCUGAGACAGCUCACGAGAUCGAGACCAUAGGUCUACGAGAGCCCGAGAGACUCCAGGAGGGUGGAUGGGUCCAGUCGACGACCGGGGGCUUUCCAGCGGGAACUUGUUUGUGAGGCUUAUCAUUAACAUGAUAAGGACCCGUAGGAGGGCCAUUUUGGGGCUCAAAGCUCCGAUUUUCCCGACAGCUCUCAACAGAGUGCUUCCAAGCUGGUAUCCGCGCGUGUUCGCAGCGAGAUAUCGUAUAAUCUUAAACAUAUAUUUUUAACAGUACCGUCAUCACACGGGCUUUGACCCUUGCCCUGAACGACCCCGGCAGACUAGGCAUGGUCACGCAUGCCCUGCUGGACCUACAAAGCCGCAUCGCCGGCACAGCAGCCAUACACAAACUACGUCGGGAAAGCCACUUCUACACCACACUCAAACAACUCAGUAUCAUGCGAGAAUACGACAUCACCCUGUGGGACCACGGAGCGCCGUAUGCCGGCCCCAUCAAC
Molecule: long non-coding RNA, 2169 nt
Filed under: Chlamydomonas reinhardtii
Lineage: Eukaryota; Viridiplantae; Chlorophyta; Chlorophyceae; Chlamydomonadales; Chlamydomonadaceae
Description: long non-coding RNA (CREI_LNC001373)
Source: RNAcentral